AACACUGUUAACCUGCGGUACCUGCGGAAGGAUCAUUACAGAGUUGCAAAACUCCCUAAACCAUUGUGAACGUUACCUAAACCGUUGCUUCGGCGGGCGGCCCGGGUCCUUCCCGGCGCCCAUCGGCCCUCGCGGGCGCCCGCCGGAGGUAAACCAAACUAUUGCAUUGUAUGUCCUCUCUGAGUCUUCUGUACUGAAUAAGUCAAAACUUUUAACAAUGGAUCUCAGAUCGGAAGAGCA
Molecule: unclassified non-coding RNA, 240 nt
Filed under: soil metagenome
Description: partial contains 5.8S ribosomal RNA, internal transcribed spacer 2, and large subunit ribosomal RNA
Source: RNAcentral